CAAUAGCGUAUAUUAACGUUGUUGCAGUUAAAAAGCUCGUAGUUGGAUUUCUGGAGGGAGCGUCGGCCCGUAUUUACGAGUGCGUGACGUCUCUGUCCAUCCUUGCGGGAAGGCACGGCAUUGAUUUGUUGUGUCGGAUCGCAUCAUUUACUGUGAAAAAAUUAGAGUGUUCAAAGCAGGCUUUCGCUUGAAUACAUUAGCAUGGAAUAAUAAGAUAGGACUUUGGUGCUAUUUUGUUGGUUGAGCCUAAAGUAAUGAUUAAUAGGGAUAGUUGGGGGCACCUGUAUUGCGUUGUCAGAGGUGAAAUUCUUGGAUUUACGCAAGACACACAGCUGCGAAAGCGUCUGCCAAGGAUGUUUUCAUUAA
RNAcentral lists this ribosomal RNA (366 nucleotides) under uncultured eukaryote. RNAcentral describes it as "partial 18S ribosomal RNA". It matches the Rfam family "Eukaryotic small subunit ribosomal RNA", at positions 592 to 976 of the family's 1831-position model. The record is from RNAcentral.